Long non-coding RNA from Mus musculus (house mouse), 666 nucleotides. RefSeq annotates it as predicted gene, 39234. The record is from RefSeq and is a predicted model, not a curated record. The transcript has 4 exons. NCBI's taxonomy places the organism in Eukaryota, Metazoa, Chordata, Mammalia, Rodentia, Muridae.
AGCAUAUACAAACCAUCACAAUUGAGCAAAGGUGGUAAUGCUAUAGUCCAAGCACUUGGGAGGUGGAGAUAAGAAGAUCAGGUGUUCAAGAUCAACCUAUUCUACAUAGCCAGCCUACGUUGUUCUUCCAAUGGGGUUGUAAUGCCCCUCUGCUCCUCCUGUCUUUCUGCCAGAUCCCCAACCAGAUUCCCUGUGCUCGGUCUGAUGCUUGGCUCAAGUCUGCUGUGGCAUCCACAUCUGCUUUGAUGAAUCGGGAACUCAUCUUACAGAAGAUAUGCGGCUUUUGGGUGAUUCUGAUGGAAUUUGAUGGUUUGACAAUAUUGCUGACAGCAAGUUAUCCCCACUUGCUUUCCACUAGCAACUCUCUGCUCCCACCUUUAUGAUCCAGUGACAUCUCCCUGAUGUUUCCUUCAAACCAAGGUUUGCAGCAAUGGCCCCACCAUCCUGCUGUAAAACCAGGCAUGAUUCCACAAGCCUGUAAGUCCAGUACUUCAGCACUAAGAUGAGAGUCAUAAGUGAACUGGCCAGUUAACUCACACAAAGCUGAGUCCAGCAAUAAAAGGCUGUCUCAAACAAGGUGGAAGGUAAGCAACAACACCCAAGGUUGUCUUCUGACCUCCAUGCAUGCACCAUAUAUGGACAUAUUUGUACUCACAUGAACAUACA